AGCAGCCGCGGUAAUUCCAGCUCCAAUAGCGUAUAUUAAAGUUGUUGCAGUUAAAAAGCUCGUAGUUGAAUUUCGGGGUUAGUAGGUUGGUCAUGCCUCUGGUAUGUACUGGUCUCACUGAUUCCUCCUUCCUGAUGAACCUUAAUGCCAUUAAUUUGGUGUUUUGGGGAAUUUGGACUGUUACUUUGAAAAAUUAGAGUGUUUAAAGCAGGCUCACGCUUGAAUACAUUAGCAUGGAAUAAUGAAAUAGGACGUUUGACCCUAUUUUGUUGGUUUCUAGGAUCGACGUAAUGAUUAAUAGGGAUAGUUGGGGCAUUAGUAUUCAAUUGUCAGAGGUGAAAUUCUUGGAUUUAUUGAAGACUAACUACUGCGAAAGCAUUUUGCCAAGGAUGUUUUCAUUAACCAAGAACGAAAGUUAGGGGAUCGAAGACGAUCAGAUACCGUCGUAGUCUUAACCAUAAACUAAUGCCGACUAAGGGAUCGGAUGAUGUUAAUUUUUAAUG
RNAcentral lists this ribosomal RNA (503 nucleotides) under uncultured Glomus. Its description in RNAcentral is "SSU rRNA". It matches the Rfam family "Eukaryotic small subunit ribosomal RNA", at positions 569 to 1075 of the family's 1831-position model. Lineage: Eukaryota; Fungi; Glomeromycota; Glomeromycetes; Glomerales; Glomeraceae. The record is from RNAcentral.